Long non-coding RNA from Capsicum annuum, 600 nucleotides. RefSeq lists it as uncharacterized. Lineage: Eukaryota; Viridiplantae; Streptophyta; Magnoliopsida; Solanales; Solanaceae. The transcript is spliced from 3 exons. The record is from RefSeq and is a predicted model, not a curated record.
CAAACGAAAAAUAUUAAUUAAGUGGAAAAGAUUACACACUAAAGCGAAUCAGUCCAAAUAAAAAAUAAAGUGCACAUAGCCAAAAAAAAAAAUCCUAAAUGGCAGCCUGAGUCCGCCCUAACCCAACAAUUAUUUAGGAGUAUUACAUAUAAAUAGAUAGUGUGGUUUUCUAUUUCCAAUUCUAUCUUCUUCUAUCCGACCCCCCACCCCCCCACCCCCACCGCCACUGACUAAUAUUGCCUUCAAGGUUCAAUUGUCUGCCUUCUUCUCCUGCUAUUAUGGGUUAUCAAUAUUGUCUCCUUGUAUCCUUUUACAUUCAAUUUUUCAGCUUUCAAGUGUGGAACUGUGAUGGAGUGCAUGGAAAGCUUCACACUUUCGUCUUACGGAGAAGAAUUAUAUCUUGCUAACGAAUUAACAAGAAAGGUUAUGUCAGACCCAGUAGAGUUAGCAAGAUACAUAAGUGCGCCAAUAGUACUGAGAUAUUAUACUUCAGGAUCAAGAAUCUUUUCAUCAUUUUCUUUUUUAGAUCGAAACAAAUUUUUACUCACUUCAAGUGAUCGAAAAAUUAUUGGAGUAUUCAAUGAAUGUGCUUUGUCCAUG